Potamilus streckersoni is the source of this 73-nucleotide non-coding RNA. Lineage: Eukaryota; Metazoa; Mollusca; Bivalvia; Unionida; Unionidae. The record is from the annotation of a GenBank genome assembly.
GUUUCGGUGGCUUAGUGGUUAAAGCGUCUGCCUCGGAUGCGGGAGGUCGGGGUUUCGAACCCCGGUCUAAGCG